CUCAAUAUCAUUACAUACGUUACUAUUCAUAACUUUACAUUAUUUUACAAUUUAUCAUGUCCACACUCUAUCUAUUACAAACACAUGACUUCAUUACUCUUGUGGACCUCCUGGUCUACCCUGUACCUGCAAACCUGGGGAAUUAGGGAGAGGGGUGAGCUACUAGAGCCCAGUGAGCAGAAUAAUAAAACAUUCAAAACAUAUGAUAACAUGGAAUGCAUCACAUCACAGCUAAUCACAUCAAGGAUGAAGUUGUCACCAAUAGUCCUCUACAUAGUCCAACUGUGCCAGAACGUAGAAUGGGUCCUGCUCUUUCUCUUACAUGGCAUAACAUAACAUUCCAAUGUGCCAGAACGUAGAAUGGGUCCUGGUCUUUCUCUUAAAUAGUGCCAGCGAACGUAGAAUGGGUCCCACUGGUCUUACAUUCCGUACCGUACAUAUCACAUCGUCACAUCAUAGAUCGAGGGCUAUGGAUCAUCCAACAUUCAUCCACAACAACAACAGUAGAGUAUGCAAUGCAACAUAUUCGUGAAUUCUAAUGCAACAACCUAGUAUAUCUCAUGGAAUUAACGAUGCGUGAAUCAUGCUAAAAUGUCCAUUUAUUUGCUUUAAAAACGUAAUGAGUUAUUCCAAUCACCUCUGGAUAGCUCUGACCAGACACUGGAGCAGCUGACUCACUGCUGGGGUCCUCGGUUCCUCGGGUCCGAACCU
RNAcentral lists this long non-coding RNA (711 nucleotides) under Manihot esculenta (cassava). RNAcentral's name for it is "long non-coding RNA (MESC_LNC006542)". The record is from RNAcentral. Lineage: Eukaryota; Viridiplantae; Streptophyta; Magnoliopsida; Malpighiales; Euphorbiaceae.